Molecule: ribosomal RNA, 115 nt
Filed under: Danio rerio (zebrafish)
Lineage: Eukaryota; Metazoa; Chordata; Actinopteri; Cypriniformes; Danionidae
Source: RNAcentral
UCUAACUUUUAAUCCAAAGGUUGCAGGUUUCAUUCCAUCACUGAAGCUAAGCAGGGCUAAAUCUGGUUAGUAACUGGAUUGGUGACCACAUGACAUAACUAGGUUGCUGUUAGAG